AGGACGAACGCUGGCGGCGUGCUUAACACAUGCAAGUCGAGCGGUAAGGCCUCUUCGGGGGUACACGAGCGGCGAACGGGUGAGUAACACGUGGGUGACCUGCCCUCAGCUCUGGGAUAAGCCUGGGAAACUGGGUCUAAUACUGGAUAUUCACUUCUCAUCGCAUGGUGGGUGGUGGAAAGUUUUUUCGGCUGGGGAUGGGCCCGCGGCCUAUCAGCUUGUUGGUGGGGUGAUGGCCUACCAAGGCGACGACGGGUA
RNAcentral lists this ribosomal RNA (258 nucleotides) under uncultured bacterium. Its description in RNAcentral is "partial small subunit ribosomal RNA". It matches the Rfam family "Bacterial small subunit ribosomal RNA", at positions 26 to 285 of the family's 1533-position model. RNAcentral also lists the same sequence under 1 other name. The record is from RNAcentral.